UAAGCGGAGGNAAAGAAACUAACAAGGAUUCCCCUAGUAACUGCGAGUGAAGUGGGAAAAGCUCAAAUUUGGAAUCUGGUGGUCUUUGGCCAUCCGAGUUGUAAUUUAGAGAAGCAUCUUCCGCGCUGGACCGUGCACAAGUCUCCUAGAAUGGAGCGUCAUAGAGGGUGAGAAUCCCGUCUUUGGUAUGGAAUCCCAGGGCUUCUGUGAUGCGCUCUCGACGAGUCGAGUUGUUUGGGAAUGCAGCUCAAAAUGGGUAGUGAACUCCAUCUAAAGCUAAAUAUUGGCGAGAGACCGAUAGCGAACAAGUACCGUGAGGGAAAGAUGAAAAGCACUUUGGAAAGAGAGUGAAACAGUACGUGAAAUUGUUGAAAGGGAAACGCUUGAAGUCAGUCGCGUCGACCAAGACUCAGCCUUGCCUCGGCUUGGUGUACUUCUCGGCUUGACGGGUCAGCAUCGAUUUCAAUCCUCGGAUAAUGGCAAGGGAAAGGUAGCACCUUUUUAGGUGUGUUAUAGUCCUCUGUCGCAUGCGAGGGUCGGGAUCGAGGAACUCAGCACGCACCUCAGGGUGUCGGGGCCUUGGCCCACGUUUACGUGCUUAGGAUGCUGGCGUAAUGGCUUUAAACGACC
This 630-nucleotide ribosomal RNA is filed under the name uncultured Russulaceae. Its description in RNAcentral is "LSU rRNA". It matches the Rfam family "Eukaryotic large subunit ribosomal RNA", at positions 47 to 649 of the family's 3401-position model. Lineage: Eukaryota; Fungi; Basidiomycota; Agaricomycetes; Russulales; Russulaceae. The record is from RNAcentral.